GCCAGAUGUGGUAGCCCACACCUGUAAUCCCAGCAACUGGGGAGGCUGAGGCAGGGGAAUCACAACUUCCAGGCCGUUCUGAGCAACUUAGUGAGACCCUGUCUCAA
This 107-nucleotide small RNA is filed under the name Marmota monax (woodchuck). Lineage: Eukaryota; Metazoa; Chordata; Mammalia; Rodentia; Sciuridae. The record is from RNAcentral.